CCCAACUAUCCCUAUUAAUCAUUACGUCAAUCCUAGAAACCAACAAAAUAGGUUUGAACGUCCUAUUUCAUUAUUCCAUGCUAAUGUAUUCAAGCAAUUGCCUGCUUUAAACACUCUAAUUUUUUCAAAGUAACAGUCCUGUUUCCCUGCAACACCAAAUUAAUGACAUUACAGUUCUUCAGAAAGGAGGAAUCAGCGAGACCAGUUCAUACCAGUGGCACGACCAACCUGCUGACCCCGAAAUUCAACUACGAGCUUUUUAACUGCAACAACUUUAAUAUACGCUAUUGGAGCUGGAAUUACCGCGGCUGCUGGCACCAGACUUGCCCUCCAA
This 334-nucleotide unclassified non-coding RNA is filed under the name uncultured Glomeraceae. RNAcentral's name for it is "sequence contains 18S rRNA gene". Lineage: Eukaryota; Fungi; Glomeromycota; Glomeromycetes; Glomerales; Glomeraceae. The record is from RNAcentral.